Molecule: small nucleolar RNA, 145 nt
Organism: Chelonoidis abingdonii (Abingdon island giant tortoise)
Lineage: Eukaryota; Metazoa; Chordata; Testudines; Testudinidae
Source: Ensembl
CCCACGGCCCUAUCGAAGCUGCGUCUGUCUCUUUUGUGUAGCUGACGUGGUCAAAAAGGAGCCAAAAGUGACCUGUUUUCCUCGACGGUCGCUGUUCAGUUUGUUCCAUUGUAACUGUCCAGCAACAUUUCAGGAAAAUACAUGU